GACGAACGCUGGCGGCGUGCCUAACACAUGCAAGUCGAACGGUCUUAGGAGUGAGAAGUUUACUUCAAACUCCCAAAGAUAGUGGCGGACGGGUGAGUAACGCGUGAACAAUCUGCCCUUAAGUCCGGGAUAACAUCGGGAAACUGAUGCUAAUACCGGAUAUGCUCCCACUAAAACAUUUUAGAGAGAGGAAAGGGAUUACCGCUUAAGGAUGAGUUCGCGUCCCAUUAGCUAGUUGGUGAGAUAACAGCUCACCAAGGCAACGAUGGGUAGCCGGCCUGAGAGGGUGACCGGCCACACUGGGACUGAGACACGGCCCAGACUCCUACGGGAGGCAGCAGUGGGGAAUAUUGCGCAAUGGGGGGAACCCUGACGCAGCAACGCCGCGUGAGCGAAGAAGGCCUUCGGUCGUAAAGCUCUGUCAUAAGGGACGAAGUCUCUAUUUAGUAGAGGUGACGGUACCUUAAGAGGAAGCCCGGCUAACUACGUG
This 490-nucleotide ribosomal RNA is filed under the name uncultured bacterium. RNAcentral describes it as "bacterial SSU rRNA". It matches the Rfam family "Bacterial small subunit ribosomal RNA", at positions 28 to 507 of the family's 1533-position model. The record is from RNAcentral.